GUAAAACUGGAGUAAGAAAUGACCGCUUACGAACAACACUCAUCGCAUAACUGGGGUGGAUUUUACGUAACUCUAGGGAAGAAAUGGAGGCUUAUAACAGACUCCUCCUCGUAAAACUUGGUGAAUUAGAACUGGUGUGACACUGGAUAAGAAAUGACCGCUUACGAACAACACUCAUCGCAUAACUAGGGUGGAUUUUACGUAACUCUAGGGAAGAAAUGGAGGCUUAUAACAGACUCCUCCUCGUAAAACUUGGUGAAUUAGAACUGGUGUGACACUGAAGGAAGAAAUGACAGCUUACAAACUACUUUCCUCAUAAAACUGGGGUGGAAUUUACGUAACUCUAGGGAAGAAAUGGAGGCUUAUAACAGACUCCUCCUCGUAAAACUUGGUGAAUUAGAACUGGUGUGACACUGGAGGAAGAAAUGACAGCUUACAAACUACUUUCCUCAUAAAACUGGGGUGAAUUUACAUAACUUUAAAACUGACUUCAUCAAAAAACUUGGUGAAUUAGAACUUGUGUGAGACUGGAGGAAGAAACGACAGCUUAUGAACUACUCUCCUCGUAAAACUGGGGAAAUAUCGAGAGCUUACAACCUACGUAUCGUCACCGAACACUCUCCUAAGCUUACGGGGGUUUACGAAGGGUACGAGUAUGCAUGCCAACAGGUCCAAGGAAGCCAAGAUACGUUUGUGCGAGUUUGGCACUUGUCGUAAUGUAAGUCGCUUUCGAGUGCCGUACAAUUGCCAAAAAACAGUGGAAUUGGGGACACACGAACUUAUGCAUGAGGUGGUUUGACACUUGGGUUUUUAUAUCGAAAAAGGAAGGUUCUAAUACUAUAAAAUGUUAUAUAUGUAUGUUUCGUAACCUAUUAGUUGCUUUCACACGCCUUUACGGUUGCCGAAGAGUGAAAUUGAGGACACAUGAAUCUAAGAAUGGGAUAGAUUUUCAACUUCUAUUAUCUAACAUCGAAAAAGUGAGGUUCUGAUGCUAUGUAACUAAACUCCGUCGUCUGUUCAAGUCUCGAUUAUAGGAAUUAUGAGGUGGAUUUCGACUCUUCUAUAAUAUAACAUCGAAAAAUUGAGGUUCUGACACUACUUAACUAAACUCCGUCGUCUGUUCAAGUCUCGAUUAUAGGAAUUAUGAGGUGGAUUUCGACCCUUCUAUAAUAUAACAUUGAAAAAUUGAGGUUCUGACACUACUUAACUAAACUCCGUCAUCUGUUCAAGUCUCGAUUAUAGGAAUUAUGAGGUGGAUUUCGACCCUUCUAUAAUAUAACAUUGAAAAAUUGAGGUUCUGACACUAUGUAACUAAUCUCCGUCAUCUGUUCAAGUCUCGAUUAUAGGAAUUAUGAGGUGGAUUUUGACUCUUCUAUAAUAUAACACUGAAAAAUUGAGGUUCUGAUGCUACGUAACUAAACUCCGUCGUCUGUUCAAGUCUCGAUUAUAGGAAUUAUGAGGUGGAUUUCGACUCUUCUAUAAUAUAACAUUGAAAAAUUGAGGUUCUGACACUACUUAACUAAACUCCAUCGUCUGUUCUAUAAUAUAACAUCGAAAACUUGAGGUUCUGACGCUACUUAACUAAACUCUGUCGUCUGUUCAAGUCUUGGUUAUAGGAUUUACGAGGCAGUUUUAGAUUUUCCUAUAAUUUGACAUCGAGAAAGUGAGGUUCUGAUGCUAUGGAACUAGAAUCUGCCGUCUGUUCAAGUCUCAAUUCAGGAAACACGAAAUUAUGAGAUGAUUCAACAUUUCUGAAACUCAACAUCCACAAAGUUAAGUUCGUAAUGAUAUGAACUUAAGUUUGUUGUCUGUUUGCGAGUCUCAGUUCAGGUGAUCCGAUAUUAUGAAGCCGACUUGACACUCUUGAAAUACGACAUCCACAAAGUUAGGUUCGUAAUGAUAUAAAACUUAACUCUGUCGUCCGUUUCCGAGUCUCAAUUCAGGAGAUCCGAUAUUAUUUAGCUGGUUUGACACUCUUGAAAACGACAUCUACAAAGUUAGGUUCGUAAUGCUGUAAAACCUAACUCUGUCCGUUUCCGAGUCUCAAUUCAGGACAUACGAUAUUAUGUAGCUGGUUUGACACUCUUGAAAACGACAUCUACAAAGUUAGGUUCGUAAUGCUAUAAAACCUAACUCUGUCCGUUUACGAGUCUCAAUUCAGGACAUCCGAUAUUAUUUAGCUGGUUUGACACUUUUGAAAACGACAUCUACAAAGUUAGGUUCGUAAUGGUAUAAAACCUAACUCUGUCUGUUUACGAGUCUCAAUUCAGGGCAUCCGAUAUUAUUUAGCUGGUUUGACACUCUUGAAAACGACAUCCACAAAGUUAGGUUCGUAAUGCUAUAAAACCUAACUCUGUCUGUUUCCGAGUCUCAAUUCAGGAGAUCCGAUAUUAUUUAGCUGGUUUGACACUCUUGAAAACGACAUCUACAGAGUUAGGUUCGUAAUGCUAUAAAACCUAACUCUGUCCGUUUACGAGUCUCAAUUCAGGACAUCCGAUAUUAUUUAGCUGGUUUGACACUUCUGAAAAACGAUGUCCACAAAGUUAAGUUCGUAAUGAUAUGAACUUAAC
Long non-coding RNA from Eriocheir sinensis (Chinese mitten crab), 2570 nucleotides. RefSeq lists it as uncharacterized. The record is from RefSeq and is a predicted model, not a curated record. Lineage: Eukaryota; Metazoa; Arthropoda; Malacostraca; Decapoda; Varunidae. The transcript is spliced from 4 exons.